UGAAUCGCUUUUUCUGAUAUUGUAGGAUGACUUUCCAAACAGUUUCAUGCGCUUCAUUGCAUCCAAUUACAGUUCUUUCACUUCGAUCUUAGUCUUGAUUGGAAGCUAGUGAUUUUAUCGAUGGAUUUCUCCUCAACUUUAAUGUUCCUAGAUCUUUGUUAUUUCGUCUCUUGUCGAAUUUAUAGUCUAAAUUUUCUGUUUUUAGAGUUUCGGGCAAGGCCUUUUCUUGGGCCCGUAAUUCAGAAUCUGGUCAAUGGUGGAAUGAAAUAAAAUUUAAGUUCGGCGAAAUUUAAGACAUAACGGGCGGUUUUACUCACUUCAAUGGCUUCAUUCUCUAAUGACUGACUUGAAUUGAGCCAUUGUAUAUGUGGAUUGGCGUAUAUUGAUUUUUGUGCGGUUUUUUUUUGUCUGCUUGUUUGGAGCUAAAAGAUGGGUGCUGCGGAGAACAAUCACGAUAUGGAGGAAGGAACCUUGGAGAUAGGAAUGGAAUAUAGAACGGUAUCCGGAGUUGCUGGACCUUUGGUCAUUCUUGAUAAAGUUAAGUAACGACCA
Molecule: long non-coding RNA, 552 nt
Organism: Neltuma alba
Lineage: Eukaryota; Viridiplantae; Streptophyta; Magnoliopsida; Fabales; Fabaceae
Exons: 3
Source: RefSeq, a predicted model, not a curated record